UAAUUUGAGAGUUUGAUCCUGGCUCAGGACGAACGCUGGCGGCGUGCCUAAUACAUGCAAGUCGAACGAACUCUGGUAUUGAUUGGUGCUUGCAUCAUGAUUUACAUUUGAGUGAGUGGCGAACUGGUGAGUAACACGUGGGAAACCUGCCCAGAAGCGGGGGAUAACACCUGGAAACAGAUGCUAAUACCGCAUAACAACUUGGACCGCAUGGUCCGAGUUUGAAAGAUGGCUUCGGCUAUCACUUUUGGAUGGUCCCGCGGCGUAUUAGCUAGAUGGUGGGGUAACGGCUCACCAUGGCAAUGAUACGUAGCCGACCUGAGAGGGUAAUCGGCCACAUUGGGACUGAGACACGGCCCAAACUCCUACGGGAGGCAGCAGUAGGGAAUCUUCCACAAUGGACGAAAGUCUGAUGGAGCAACGCCGCGUGAGUGAAGAAGGGUUUCGGCUCGUAAAACUCUGUUGUUAAAGAAGAACAUAUCUGAGAGUAACUGUUCAGGUAUUGACGGUAUUUAACCAGAAAGCCACGGCUAACUACGUGCCAGCAGCCGCGGUAAUACGUAGGUGGCAAGCGUUGUCCGGAUUUAUUGGGCGUAAAGCGAGCGCAGGCGGUUUUUUAAGUCUGAUGUGAAAGCCUUCGGCUCAACCGAAGAAGUGCAUCGGAAACUGGGAAACUUGAGUGCAGAAGAGGACAGUGGAACUCCAUGUGUAGCGGUGAAAUGCGUAGAUAUAUGGAAGAACACCAGUGGCGAAGGCGGCUGUCUGGUCUGUAACUGACGCUGAGGCUCGAAAGUAUGGGUAGCAAACAGGAUUAGAUACCCUGGUAGUCCAUACCGUAAACGAUGAAUGCUAAGUGUUGGAGGGUUUCCGCCCUUCAGUGCUGCAGCUAACGCAUUAAGCAUUCCGCCUGGGGAGUACGGCCGCAAGGCUGAAACUCAAAGGAAUUGACGGGGGCCCGCACAAGCGGUGGAGCAUGUGGUUUAAUUCGAAGCUACGCGAAGAACCUUACCAGGUCUUGACAUACUAUGCAA
Molecule: ribosomal RNA, 1031 nt
Filed under: Lactiplantibacillus pentosus
Lineage: Bacteria; Bacillati; Bacillota; Bacilli; Lactobacillales; Lactobacillaceae
Description: bacterial SSU rRNA
Rfam family: Bacterial small subunit ribosomal RNA
Source: RNAcentral